GCUUAUGGCCAUACCACUCUGACAAAGCCUGAUCUCAUCUGACCUUGGAAGCAAAGCAGAGUUGGGCCUGGUUAGUACUUGGUUGGGAGACUGAAUGGGAAUACUAGGUGCUGUAAGCU
Ictalurus punctatus (channel catfish) is the source of this 119-nucleotide ribosomal RNA. The record is from Ensembl. Lineage: Eukaryota; Metazoa; Chordata; Actinopteri; Siluriformes; Ictaluridae.